RNAcentral lists this ribosomal RNA (253 nucleotides) under uncultured bacterium. RNAcentral describes it as "partial 16S ribosomal RNA". It matches the Rfam family "Bacterial small subunit ribosomal RNA", at positions 524 to 776 of the family's 1533-position model. The record is from RNAcentral.
UACGUAGGGUGCAAGCGUUGUCCGGAAUUAUUGGGCGUAAAGAGCUCGUAGGCGGUCAGUCGCGUCUGCUGUGAAAACUCGGGGCUUAACCCCGGGCCUGCAGUGGGUACGGGCUGACUAGAGUGCGGUAGGGGAGACUGGAAUUCCUGGUGUAGCGGUGAAAUGCGCAGAUAUCAGGAAGAACACCAGCGGCGAAGGCGGCACUCUGGGCCGGAACUGACGCUGAGGAGCGAAAGCGUGGGUAGCAAACAGG